Molecule: ribosomal RNA, 1144 nt
Filed under: Bacillus nakamurai
Lineage: Bacteria; Bacillati; Bacillota; Bacilli; Caryophanales; Bacillaceae
Description: bacterial SSU rRNA
Rfam family: Bacterial small subunit ribosomal RNA
Source: RNAcentral
UGGGACUGAGACCGGCCCAGACUCCUACGGGAGGCAGCAGUAGGAAUCUUCCGCAAUGGACGAAAGUCUGACGGAGCAACGCCGCGUGAGUGAUGAAGGUUUUCGGAUCGUAAAGCUCUGUUGUUAGGGAAGAACAAGUGCCGUUCAAAUAGGGCGGCACCUUGACGGUACCUAACCAGAAAGCCACGGCUAACUACGUGCCAGCAGCCGCGGUAAUACGUAGGUGGCAAGCGUUGUCCGGAAUUAUUGGGCGUAAAGGGCUCGCAGGCGGUUUCUUAAGUCUGAUGUGAAAGCCCCCGGCUCAACCGGGGAGGGUCAUUGGAAACUGGGGAACUUGAGUGCAGAAGAGGAGAGUGGAAUUCCACGUGUAGCGGUGAAAUGCGUAGAGAUGUGGAGGAACACCAGUGGCGAAGGCGACUCUCUGGUCUGUAACUGACGCUGAGGAGCGAAAGCGUGGGGAGCGAACAGGAUUAGAUACCCUGGUAGUCCACGCCGUAAACGAUGAGUGCUAAGUGUUAGGGGGUUUCCGCCCCUUAGUGCUGCAGCUAACGCAUUAAGCACUCCGCCUGGGGAGUACGGUCGCAAGACUGAAACUCAAAGGAAUUGACGGGGGCCCGCACAAGCGGUGGAGCAUGUGGUUUAAUUCGAAGCAACGCGAAGAACCUUACCAGGUCUUGACAUCCUCUGACAAUCCUAGAGAUAGGACGUCCCCUUCGGGGGCAGAGUGACAGGUGGUGCAUGGUUGUCGUCAGCUCGUGUCGUGAGAUGUUGGGUUAAGUCCCGCAACGAGCGCAACCCUUGAUCUUAGUUGCCAGCAUUCAGUUGGGCACUCUAAGGUGACUGCCGGUGACAAACCGGAGGAAGGUGGGGAUGACGUCAAAUCAUCAUGCCCCUUAUGACCUGGGCUACACACGUGCUACAAUGGACAGAACAAAGGGCAGCGAAACCGCGAGGUUAAGCCAAUCCCACAAAUCUGUUCUCAGUUCGGAUCGCAGUCUGCAACUCGACUGCGUGAAGCUGGAAUCGCUAGUAAUCGCGGAUCAGCAUGCCGCGGUGAAUACGUUCCCGGGCCUUGUACACACCGCCCGUCACACCACGAGAGUUUGUAACACCCGAAGUCGGUGAGGUAACCUUUAUGGAGCCA